RNAcentral lists this long non-coding RNA (14831 nucleotides) under Trifolium pratense (red clover). Its description in RNAcentral is "long non-coding RNA (TPRA_LNC006578)". Lineage: Eukaryota; Viridiplantae; Streptophyta; Magnoliopsida; Fabales; Fabaceae. The record is from RNAcentral.
CUUGUUUUGUUCUAAAACUUCAACUAUAUCUUUGUGAAACCACAAUCUAGAGCGCUUUUCAGGAUGAUCGGGUGAUUCUUUUCGAACAAUUUCUUUACCCAUAUGCUCUAUCAAGUCAUGUAAUCUCACAUAAACAAAUUGAUGAAUCUUUAUGAGAGAUUUAUCAACCAACACUCUAACAUCAUGUUUUAUGCAAUGACCAUAAUGAGCAUGAAUUUGUCCCAAAUGAAACCAUUUAAAGAAACAUGCAAUAUCUAGAAAGAGAUUUUUCUGUUCUUCAUCCAAACCAUCAAAGCUAACUUUUAGUAUAUUUUGGAUAUCAUGAGGAGGAAUCCUUUUAUAUUUAUCUAAUGUAGAUUCCCAUUCUGCUAUAGGCGUUCCUGCCAAAUUGGAACCUAUGACAUCUAUAGCUAAUGGAAGGCCAGAAGCAUAACUAAUUGCACGGUUGACAAUAUCAUCAUUAAUUGAAUCAACUUUCUUAGUUUUAAAAGCCACCUGCUUAAACAAUUCAAGAGAUUCACCACAAUUUAAGCCUUCUACUUCAUAUAUUCUUUCAAUCUCAUGACAUGUUAACAAACUUUUGUCUCGAGUGGUAAUGAUGACUCUGCUGUUAGGACCAAACCAAUCAAAUCCUCCGGCCAAAAAAUUUAGCUGCUUCAACUUGUCAACGUCAUCGAGAAUCAAUAAGACCCUCUUUCGACGUAGCCGUUCUUUAAUGAUUCCAAUUCCUUCAUUGACACCUCCUAUCUUCACUUUCAAUCCGAUUGUUUUGUAAAGGAGUUGCUCUUGGAGAUGUUUUGCUGAAUUUUCUCUCACAUUUUCCAGGAAACACAAACACUCAAAUUGAUCAGCAAUAAAAUUAUAAACUGCUCGAGCAAGUGUUGAUUUACCAAUUCCUCCUGUUCCAUGAAUCCCAAUCAUGCAAACUUCAUCAUUACGAGCCUCAUUCAGAAGUGAGUUCACUUUACUCACUCGAGACUCAAGUCCAACAGGGUAAUCAACAACAUGUAAAGGAGUUCGCUUCAUCUUAUUGGAAACAGCUUGAACUAUAUCUCCAAUAAAUGUGUGUUCAUAUUCAUUCAUGUCUGAUCUGAAAGGUAUGAGUAUAUGCAUCACAAUCAAUUCCAUGUAUUGGUACGUAAAAAUAUUGCAAUUCAAAUAGUUGCAAAAUACAUAUCUUUCUUCUUUCCAAGUGUUGCCAAUUAAGUUAUGCCUUUAAUAAUUGUGUAGCAUAUGAAUUUAAAAGUCUUUAAUUAUAACUUGGCAUCAACCGUUGAGUAAAAAGUUUCCAAUUAUUCUAUUAAAAAAAAAGUUUCAAAUUAUAAAUGGAUCUAAAUAUAAUAUUUAUUUUUUUUGAAGAAGCCAAAAUGAUAUAUAUUAACAUAAACAGUCUCCCCAGCACAAGACGUACCAAAGAAGACUAAAGAAUUACAAAAGAGUCAGAGAAAUACAAUCGAAAUAAAAUCAUACAAGGCCCAAACACAUCAAUGGACUAGACCACCAGCUAUGGUAGUUUAAACUAAAUAUAAUAUUUCAUUGAUACUAUUUAUAGAAUUAACUUAAUUAUUUUAAUUUAUAAUAUGAUAUUUGACAUAUAAGUAAAUAUGUAUUAUUAAAUGACAAGAAUUGAGAUGUCUAAAUUAUCUAAAAAUUUAUAUCCAUAUAUGAUUAUCAAGACAUACAGUUACAUAACUCGUAUUCUAUAUAGUGUUAUCAGAGACGUAAUUUUACUAAGUUUAACACCUGAUGCAAACGGAUCAUAUGUAUAUAAAAGAUGGGAAAAGAGGAAUGAAUGAAGAAGGGUACCCAGUAUUGAAAUGGUAGCCGGCAAUGUUAGCAGCUUGGUUAAGAGCUAUCUUCCAUUGAUGCAACCGCUCCAUGUUUUUCUCAUUAUUUUGGAACUUCUUUUCGUGGUCGGCAAGUGCUUUACAGUAAUUACCUUUCUGAUGCCGCACGUCAGAAGGAUCCACACCAUAAAAAACAGGAAGAACAAGGCGACGCUUUUCUCUGAAGCCAUGCAUGAUGUGGACAAGUUCGUCCAAACAAAACGAAGAAGAAGCAUAGUCGAUAGAAAAUAUAGGAAUAUAAAUUCUAGACUCAUUAAUGGUUUUGAUGAGUGUUGGUGUGAUUUCAUCCCCUCUCUUAAGAUCAUUGUAAUCAAUAAAGGUGUGGAUUCCUUUGUCCUUAAGAGCAUUGUAGAGAUUAUUAGUAAAAACAUACCGAGUGUCAAUGCCCCUGAAAUUGAGGAAGACUUGGUAAUUGAAAUAUUCAUUGGGAGAUGAAGAGGAAGAGGAAGAUGACUGAAGAGCCAUAAGAAUUGAGAAGAAAUGAAAGCAAGAAGAGUGAGAAUAUGAGAAUUGAGAAAUUGAUCCUAAAUAUUGCAAUUGGAAGCAUUUCCUAUAUAUAUAUUGUUACGGACGCGUCACACAAUAAUAUUUUACUAUCAUAAUAUAACUUCUGCUGAAGUUGUAAUAAUAAUAUAGUAAUGACUUUUGCUGAGGCAGGCAGCUUCCAUAUAACUUCUGCUGAAGUUGUAAUAAUAAUAUAGUAAUGAAGGUGGAUAGGAGGAUAAUAUUGAAGACUAGUUCUACUGAAUUACUAUUUCCUUAUUUUCUCAAAAGUCUUGGUUAAGUUAGGAGUUAUUAGCAAGGGAUUACAAUUUAAAAUAAAAUAAAUGUGUUGGUAAUGUGACUUGUUGAUAAUGUCUCUUUACAGAGAUUGCAAUUCAAUUAAUUAACACCACAAGUGGAAAACCAAAUAAUAUAUAGAUACUGUAAGUUGUAACAAACAAACUACCCAUUCUGAAACUACGUUCUCAUCUUCCGUGUGAACCAAUGUAGGAAACUUCCUUUGGAUGGGUGGAUAACAUUGAAGACUAAUUCUACUGAAAAAUCUGCCUUUACUAUGUCUGAAAACUUCCUUCUCAUCAAUAAUAUAGAGAGAGUGUAACAAUCAGACUACUUCUUUUUGCGCCCCUUGGCUGUUCUCGCGCGCACCUAGAAUUUUUAAAAAAUACCUCACUAUUUAAGUAGCAAACUCAGUUCGCUUGUGUUUUUUUCAAAUUUUGCACCCUUCAACACUCACUAGUUAUCUUGCGAGAAGGGUAUUUUUGGAAAUCCAGGUGGCACUUGAGAAACUCACUAGUUUCCGCAACUGCAUCACACUGCAAUUGCGGUGUAACCUUUAAUCAGUUAUACGACCGCAACAUAACUGCAUUAGAAAUCGUAUCAUACAAAUUUAGACAUGUUUGUUUAAAUUUUUUUUACUAAAAACUAAUAUUUUAGAAUCCCAAAUCUCAAAAUGUUUCAUAUCUAUUAAAAAUCUUACUUUUAACGGUAUCUCAACUUUAUAUUUCAAGCAUGUCUCAAUCAUUAUUUACGGAGCAAAUUGAGACUCUAUUAUUGUGAGUAAAUAGUAUAGUAGCAUGGUGGUACCACUUACAGUAAUUAGUAGUUUGUGAAAGUUAAUAACCAUUUCACGCCGUAACGACCGCAAUGACUGCAACCAUUAUUUAAAAUAAGUAAAUGUUGGCAAUGUGACUUAUUGAUAAUGUCUCUUCACAGAGAUUACCAUUCAAUUAAAAUCGCAAGCGGAAAAAUCAAAUAAUAUAUAUAAAUAGUGUAAUGUAAUUACUAUUAGAACCAUUACUUUGUGUUUGAGAUUAAGACAUAUAAAAGCAAGUUUUACUUUUUUCAAUUUCGUUAUUCUUGUGCUGUCUGUAACCUUUCACUCUGUUACUCCUUUUUUAUCUUAUUUUUAUUUGUUUUAUAUUAAUGUAUUACACAUAAUACUACAUAUUAAUAAAUUAUGGAAAGUUAAAAUAUGUUUUUUUUUGGAACAGACAUAUAGCAAAGUCAGUUGUACCUUUUAUGUAUCUUCCUACCAGAAAUUAUUGGAGCAGCUUAAUUUCUCCAUAGCAAAGUCAGACAAAAUUUCAUCGGCAGAAAGGGGGCCACUACCACAGACCCUGCAACCAUUGAACCCGGAGUAAGAAUAAACUUCACUGUUUUUGGCUUAUAGUAGGAAGAUAUUUGAAUUAAAUAAUCAAAACAUCAAAGUCAAUUUUCAACAUAUAGGCUUAGUAUAACUGUAUAACGAAUUGAAAUUCAGUUUGAUACAACAUGAUAGAAAUCUAAAAGUAGGUGAACCAAAGUCAACCAUAGUGCCAACCAGUGGCGGAAGCAGGAAAAACUAAUUGGGUGGCCCACUAAAAAAUUUAUGGCUUAUAGCUUAUAAGUUCGUAUUGAAAAUGAAAAAAAAAACUAUUAGGUAACAUUUUUCAUGAGCUUAUAGCUUGCUAGUUUAUAUAUAGCUUAUGAACUAAUAUUUUCACCAACGCUUGAACUAAUAUGUGUACCGAGUGACUUACAAUCAUCAAUAACAAACUCUAAACUAAAAUUUACAUUAAUAUUUGUACUAAUAUGUAUACUGACUUAAAAUCAUUAGUAAUACACUUAAACUAAUACUUCAUACCAAUAGGGACAACCACUCAAAAACAACCAACCAAGUUUGAUACAAUUCGAACAACACUAAGAACCAUAAUCAGUACUAUAGACUCAAAGUCCAAUACCAACACAUAUUAACAAUACCUAAUCCUAUAAAUGUGUGAAGGUAAGAAUCUAACCUUUUACACUUUGUGCCGACCACUAUGCAACUCCUUCAACCCUAGGACAGGAGGCGAUGAUUUGUUAUUGUGAUUAUUGUUUUUGUUCUUGAACUUUUUACAUUUCAGCAACCUGAUGACAAGUGAGUAAAGCAAGAUCAAAUAAUUAAAUAUUUCAUUCUCCUAUCAGAUCUCCACCAUCUCGGCAGGCACCGCAUGUAUCAUCAUUUCGAUCUUCACCCGCAACAUCAAUGAAGUGAAAACUUAAGUUCAGACCCAUUCCUUUCUUGGACUUGGUAACUAAUCUAGUUGGUAACUACUACUCCUACAUAACAAAAUACGGAGUAAUAAAAUAUCUGAUCAACAAAAAAAUGAACCUUAAUCUACAAGAAUGUAAUACAUUAAAGGCAUUGCUACAUUGAAGUCUACAAUAUUUAAACAGAAAAACAAAAUGAUAUACAUUAUGACCUGCCACAUAUUUUCCAAACUUAAUAUACACUGAUAACAAUGAUUUUUAAGAGAAUCAUUGCAACUAGCAAUAAAAAAAUCUCCAAUUUUAAGAAGUAUCACAAAAUCCCCAAUUUUGGACAUAUCAAAAACCCCUAACGAUGAUUUGAUAACACAUAUAUAUUACUUAUAGUCGCAAUUGCAUAAUCAUUCAACCAAUUUAAUAUAAUUAGAGUCAUAUAAAAAAAUCCCAAAUCAUAGUUUCAAAAACCUAACAAUGGAAAUUGAAAACAGAAAAAGAAGAUAUGAUUAUUGUUGAGCAUUACCUGUGUCCUGUUGUUGUUGAAUGGAAGACGACGUGGUGGACGGAGGAAGGUUGUGGCGUGCGACAGAGAGAUAUCAGAGCUGGGUUUUGUGAAACGAUCAGAAGAAAGUUUCAGACAUUUGCGAGGGAUAGGUGAAAAAAAAGGAACGCGGGAGAAAUGAAAUUGGAUUUGAGUACGCCGUAUAAUAUUAUGGCUAGUUUAAAUUAGCUUAUUUUUUAGUUUACCAAAAAUAGUUUACGUAAGUAAAUAAAUAAAUAUUUAUGUUAAAUUAUAAUUUUUUUUGUUAAGUAGUCCGUUGACUAGAAAUUACAUUUUUAAGAUGAAUAAGUGGAAUGAUCAGAGUUUGAACUUGACUCUUAGCUUACAUAUAUAAUGCAAUUACCUUACCAAACUAGCUAAGUAAAAAUUGUAUCUUCAUAAAAUAUCUUUAAAAACUUAUAAACAAUAUAUAAAAAUUUAUUUAUUUAUAUAAAUUAUUUUGCAUAAAUUCAAAAAUAACUCAAUCCAAACAAACCUUUAAGCAUAUGUCAUCGAAUAAAGUGGGUAGCACUCUUUCUGUUAGAAUGCGUAGAAUCAUCUAACUUGAUGUAGGUAGAAGCCUAUAAAUAAGGGAUAACUUAUCAUUUGUAAAGUCUUAUCUGAACUUAGGUUCCGAUUGUAAUACCUCAAAGCAAAGAGAGCCUGAAGUUACUCGACGAACAAGUCAUCAAGGAACAAUUGCUUGAUCAUGAUGAUUAGUGUGUGGUCCUUGUAGAUGGUAUCAGAGCAAUACUUCUGCAUCAUAAUUGUUUCUUGCUUAUGGCGCGUAACACCAAUACCGGUGUGGUUAACCCGCAGCCACCUCUGCCGCAUGAUACGUUGCAGAUCCCUGGGAAUGUAUACCACAUCCAUCCUUCUGAAGGACCUUCAUCAAUGUCUAUUACUCUAGUUCUAACGCAUUUGAAUUACCAUGCUUGGGCGCAUUCAAUGCGUCAUGCACUUGCUGCAAAAAAAGUUCGAUUUUGUGGAUGGUGUGAUUCCAGUUCCAUCGAAGUUUGAUCCUAGCUUUAAGGAAUGGUCUCGGUGGAAGAGUUCAUAGCUCAGAGUAUUGUGUGUCUCAAAUAUGCAAUCGAGUGUCUUUCGCAGGGUGACAUCAAUCGUAUAUCUGAAUUACAGAUCGAGAUCUAUGGACUCAAGCAAGGUUCAAGGUCAGUUUCAUAAUUCUUUACUGUUCUCAAGGAUCUUUGGGAAGAGCUGGAAGCAUACUUCCUAUGUCGGUUUGCAAUUGUGCUGACUGCUCACAAAUGUGUUUGCAUAACUGGUAUUACCAAUGCUAGGACUCAAUAUGAUUUGAUUCGAACUAUUAGGUUCCUUACUCGUUGAACAAUAUAGUUCUGAUCUUGUUAGAUCACAAAUUCUCCUAAUGGAUCCUUUGCCUCAGAUUAAUGAAGUCUUCUCUACGUUAUUCAACACGAAAGACAAUUUAUGAAUGCAGAAGAUCAAGAGGAUAAUGAUGCAAAAAGUUCUAAAGGCAUUGAUUCAUUUGUUCUUACUAAUAUGAAAAACUAGUGAAUCUUCAGCAAACUGCUACUAUAACUCAUGGUGCAUCCACAUCAGCUCAAGUGAAUGCAACCUCACAUCAUUACAACGGUACCACGUGAUUGAGGUAUAUUCUAUAAGCAAUUCAACAUAUGGAUCUUGGAUAAUUGAUUUUGGAGUUAGUGACCAUAUAUGUUAUGGCUUACCCUUCUUUGAUAAUUACCACAGCAUAACUCCUAUUCAAGUUAAAAUGCCAAAUGGUACCACUGCAUGUACUAAGAUUGCUGGCACAAUUAGUUCAUCUAAAGAACUUCAUGCUUUGUGCCUAAAUUUUCUCAUAUAACUCACAAUAUAAUGCACUGUGCUUUUCGAUGGUAUGCAUUGUUAUUUGUUCCAUACAUGAAAAGAGGAGCUUGAGGAAGAUUGGUUCGGGUGAAUUGAUUGAAGGAUUGUACUAUCUAACCUCAAAGACAUGCCCUAGACCAUGGCAGGCAACACCACUACCAAUCAUACUCACAGCUCAAAUGUCCAUUUCAGAUUAGGUCACCACUCAAAUAAUAGAUUGCAAAAUAUGCAACAUGAUUUCCCUUUUGUAACCUUAGAUGAAAAUUUUGUUUGACAUAUGUCACUAUGUUAGACAUAAAAAGCUUCCUUACAAAUUAAGUGUAAAUAAAACUAUCAAAUGUGGUGAAUGGAUUCAUUUUGAUAUACAGAGUCCUAUUUCCACUCAAUCUAUUCAUGGUCAUAAGUAUUCCUUAACUGCUAUUGAUGAUUUUAGUCGCUUUACUUGGAUCAAUUUAUUUAAAGAAAAAUAUGAAGUUAACCAAAUGUGGUGAAAAAUGGUUUGAUACUUGUGUUGAAACCAUAAGGAUAGAUAAUUGUCGAGAAUUCCUUAUCCCUCAGUUCAAUGUUUCAAUAGGUAUAAACCACCAAACUAGUUGCCUUGAGACUCACCAACAAAACGGGAGAGUAGAUGUUAGCGGCCAACACUCAUAUAGAUAAGAUUCUAGAGAAGAGUUUAUAAAGAGGAGACCAUCCUCACCUUACAAGCCGGUUUUGUAAGGAUGAGUUAUGCCUCGAUAUUCAUGACAGUAGAAAGGAAACACCGGCAUAUCGAUCCUAAUUGUAGGUAGAGCCUUAUUGUUUCAGUCAAAAUCACCUAAACAAUUUUAGUCUCUUAUGCAAUUGUUCAUUCAUGCUACCUUCAUCAUAAAUAGAGUCAACACACCUCUUCUACAAAAUAAAUCUCCUUACCAUCUAUUAUAUGAUAAAUAGCCUAACUCCUAACUAACUAACAAAUAUACUAAUAUAUAGUAGAUACCAUUAUUAUUAGAUAAAAAUUAAGGAUGAAAACAAUUAUCAACAAGUUUAGAGCAUAGGAUUAGUUUCAAAAGAUAAAAAAAUUGCAAAUAAAUAGGAAAAGUAAAAAUAGUUAAUGUGGUAGCAGACUAGAAGAAAAUUUAACUUUGACACCAAAUGUAUCUUCAUUUACUGUGUUUAACUUGAAUGCAUAUAUACUAAUUCACCAUAUCAUUCAAAGAAUGCCUUUCUGUAAAAUGAAAACAUUUGUUGUUGCUGCUGCACAAACCCAUUCUCUGUUUCCACGAACGGAUCUGAAAUGUUGUGAAUAGUAAUAAUCAUCAUUACAUAACUUUCUCUUUAAUUUCAUAAACAUUGGUAAAUGAAGGAUAAGAAAGAAAAUAUAAAAAAUUGAACCCCAUACAAAUGCAAGACUUUAUUUGCUAGUUGGAUUUUGAAAGAUUUUUAAGGGCUAACUUUAUGUUUAAUAUUUUAAACUAAUUGAAAGAAAAACAGAUUACAUAAUAUUUCCAUAUAGAACAAUAUAGCACACAUGUAACACCAUAACACAAAGUACAUAUCAAAGUAGGACUUUCCAUAUAAUAGCAAUAAAUAAUGGAUUAUAAUUAAGAUUAAUAACAAAAUUUGAAAAUGUAACUCUAAUAACAAAUAAGAUUUAAUUUUAUCAUACAAAUAAUAAUGUCAUGCACCUGAAUUCAUGGCUGACUAUCUUUGCUUUAUCAGAGACAAUAAAGACAUACGGUUUUGCAGUUUUUCAUCCACAAGUUCUGUAUCUAAAUCUUCCACGUCCAACAAUUUUCUCUUUUUAUAAGGAUUGGUGAACCGGAUAUGGUCCAGAUUGUUUUCCUCCUUGAAAUACAAAUGAAACGUAUCCGUAUACUUAAACUUAAUUUCUGAAUGGAUCCAUUCAUUUUUUUCAAAUGCUUCAACCAAUUUAGGCAUUAGUUUCGGUCCGGAUAGGAAAUCAUGACAUUCAAUCUGUCGUUUCAGUUGCAGAUUAAAAAGAUAUGUAUGACUUGGCACUGGCAUGCCAAAAUAGAGAAAGUCAGAGUCGUACUCAACAUUCCUUUUAAAGUCUUAGAUGCACAGAUCAAAUGACAAUCCCGAAGGAUUAGCAUAAUGAUUAGUCGGUGAUUCAUCAAAAUUCGGCUUCGAAUUAGUAGUGAAGAAGAUCAUUAUGAAUGGCAACUUGUUACGAAACCAGAAAGGAAACGUUGUUCCUCUACUUCGGUGCUUAAACCCCUCCGGAAUCAUCUCGCCUUCUGCUGAUGGGAAACAAUACUCGGUGGUUCUUCCAGACUCAGGAACAAAAAUACAACAAUACCAUAUUCACUAACAUGCUUUUACUUGAGGAAUUCAAUGAUUUGCAGUUUAAUGCAGACAAUCUUCGUAGAUUUGGCGGAAUUCCGCAAAUAUCCUCAAGAGAAUGGCAAUCAUCUGGUUUAAGUCUAUGAAGAGAGGUACAUUCUUUAAGGAAUUCUGGAAGAACUCUGAAAUCGCUAACAGAUAGGUCUAGGAUUACCAUAUUCGCAAACCAUGUGAUAACCAUCGGAAGAAAUAAUGAGAGGUUGCUAAUUUCAAGAUACCACCAGCCACACUUCAAAGUGCUAUAACAUUGUCGAUAAUACUAUUGAUGCCAUUAUACGACCGGAUUUUCAUACCGUUCGCUCAGCUGGUAACACGACAGGAAAAGGGUAUAAAAGUAAUGCAAAGGAUGGGAAUUGGAAUGGUUCUAUCAAUCAUAGCAAUGAUUAUUGCGACACUAGUUGAAAUGAAACGGCUUGCUAUCGGACGCCAAAUGAGAAAUUAAGGGUUACAAUCAGAAAUAGUGCCGAUAAGCAUUUUCUGGUUGUUACCACAGUACAUUCUUCUCGGUAUUUCAGAUAUUUUCACAGUUGUUGGUAUGCAAGAAUUCUUUUAUGGUGAAGUUCCAAAGAAUAUGAGAACAGUGGGAAUUGCAUUGUAUACUAGUGUUUUUGGAGUUGGAAGCUUUGUGAGUGCAUUGAUGAUAACAUUAGUUGAAGUAUAAACAAGUUCAAAAGGAACUUCAAGUUGGUUUUCUGAUGAUAUGGUUGAAGCACGUUUGGAUAAUUACUACUGGCUUCUAGCUUUGUUAAGUUCUAUUAGCUUUUUGUUGUAUACACUAUUGUGUAAAUAUUACUAUAGGAAGAGUAAUCCAGAUAUUGAAAAUUGAGGUUUUUUUCUUCUUUUUCUGAUAUAGUUUUCAAGUGUAAUUUUAUCUUAGUUUGCCCUUUAUUUUUGGGACAAAGUUAGUUGAACUAGUAACCCUUGUCUUAAUAUAACUUUAAUUGUAUGAUGUUCUUUUUGUAAGAAGGAAAAGAAAAAAAAAAAAACUAACAAGACAUUUAUUUAUAAAAAAAAAACAAUAAGAUAGUAAUUUAUUCCACAGUUUCACGCACGUAUUACGUGUGACCUUGUAAGAGUUUAAGUGUUAACUUGAGAGUUUGACAACCUUGAUACUCAAUUCAUGGAUUAAAUUUGAUUCGAAAUCUAAAGUGAUAUCGGAGGAUUGUGAUGCAAAGUUCUGAUUUAGAAGUCAAUUGUUCAAGACAUGAAACAAUUAGGAUAUGAGGAUUAUGUUAGGACAAAGAAGUUCUCUACACUUGAUAUAACAUAAAAAAGCAUAGUGAUUACUAUAUAUAUACCUUCUGAUACAAGGUAAAUAUCUGAGACACAAUUUAUGGAUCUCCAAAAGAAAUACAUGAAGGUCUAGUUGAACAUAACAAGAUGAUGAAUCACACCACAAAACUACACAUUAUUUUCAACUGAAUCACCAAAGUCUUAAAUGAUCCUAGUGACCGAAAAUGCUUGAUCACAUUAGUCAUUUCAGGUCGGACAAGUUAGUUCCCCCAAACUAAGCAUAGUGGUUUUUUCUUUGAAGAGAAAUAGACUCACACACAUGAUGACACACAAGAANNNNNNNNNNNNNNNNNNNNNNNNNNNNNNNNNNNNNNNNNNNNNNNNNNNNNNNNNNNNNNNNNNNNNNNNNNNNNNNNNNNNNNNNNNNNNNNNNNNNNNNNNNNNNNNNNNNNNNNNNNNNNNNNNNNNNNNNNNNNNNNNNNNNNNNNNNNNNNNNNNNNNNNAUUUCAGUAAGUCAUUGUUACAAACAAGUAGGAGGUAUUAUUAUAACACAAGAAACAAAGUUUGGCAAUAUAUAAUGGAUUAUAAGAUUAAUAACAAAAUUUGAAAAUGUAACUCUAAUAAAUAACAAAUAAGAGAAUGAAAACAACCUAGAUGAUUUAAUUUAUCAGACAAAUAAUAAUAAAGACAUACCGUGUUGCAGUUCUUUUUCCACAAGUUCUGUAUCUAAAACUUCUUCGACGUCCAACAAUCUUUGAUUUUUCAGAAGUGGCCGGGAUUGUGAUAGUGAAGUAUCUUGAUAUAUAUGUUCCAGUUCAUCUAAUUUUCUCUUUCUACAAGGAUUGGUGAACCGAAUAUGGUCCGCAUUGUUUUCCUCCACGAAAUACAAAGGCAAUGUAGCCGUAGACCGAAACUUAAUUUCUGCAUGGAUCCAUUCAUUUUUUUCAAAUGCUUCAUCCAGUGUAGGCAUUAGUUUCGGCUGGGAUGAAUCCAGCCAGGAAUCAUCAAUUUCAAUCUCUUGUUGCAUAGGCAGAUUAUAAAGAUAUGUAUGACUUGGUGACAACCACUCAUGUCGAAACAGAUUGUCUCGGAUGUGAUUAAAAUUCCUUUUAAAGUCAUUGAUGAACAGAUUGAAUGACAAUACAGAAGAUGGUUCUCCAAGAUACUCCAUCUUCGAAUUAGUAGAGAAGAAGAUCAUUAUGGACGGCAACUUGUUACGAAACCAGAAAGGAAACGUUGUUCCUGACUCAUCGGUUGUUCCUCUAGUUUGGUGAUUAAACCACUCCGGAAUCAUCUCACCUUCUGCUGAUGGGAAACAAAACUCGGUAGUUCUUCCAGACUCAUGCAAUUUCUGAUGGGUUUAACAUAAAUAUGAGUUUAUAUAUAACUCAACCCACACCAGCAAUUAUUAUGUUGGCUUAAUUGCAGUUUUGGUCUUCUAUUUUACAUGUUCCACAAUUAUGCCUUGUAUUAUAAAAAAUUUGUGUUAUAAAAAAUUUGUGUUAUGACUAAAACUGCAUUAAAUGUUAAAAUAGAGGACAAUAAUGUUUGAUUUUAAAAUAGGGGGACCAAUUUCGUGAGAUUUGUAAAAUAGAGGAUAAAAAAUGCAAUUAAUCCUAUUAUGUUUUGAUCCUUAUAGAAAAAUUGAUUUAUGACAUGUUUGGAUUGACUUAUUUUUUAGUUUAUGCGAAUCAAUUUAUGCAAAUAAAUAAAUUUUUAUGUAUUAUUAUAUGUUUUUCAAGGUGGUUUAUGAUAAAACAACUUAUAAAGAUACAAUUUUUUUUCAAUAAAAACAUGAAUUAACAAAAAAGUUUAUUUAUUUGCAUAAGCUAUUUUCAUAAACUCAAAAAUAAGUCAUUUCGGUCAUUUCGAUAACCGUUUGGUGAAUUAUUGAUCUAAAUUGGGUUGUGUGCGAAGCUUUGAAGUUGUGACUCGAAAGCAGAAUUUUAGGGAGGGCAAAAUCCAAAAAAUUAUAAAAUAGGGGGGGUAAAAGUCCGCUUUUUUAAACAAGGGUUAAAAUUCCGAUUUAAUCAAAAAUAGGGGAGACAAAACUGCAUUUAAGCCAUCAUUUUUAAUAAAAACUCAUAAACCGUUAACUAUCAAUCUAAUAGUAGAUUUUGUGCAUUCAUGUUAGAAUGAUAUUAUUAACAUGCAUGAUAUGUAUCACUUACUUGUGCAUGUUAGAAUUGAAGUUAUAAAAAUAUCAAAUCAAUAUUUUGGCAAAAAAUACAACAAUACCUUAUUCAGUAACAUGCUUUUACUUGAGGAAUUCAAUGAUUUGCAGCCCAUUGCUAUCAAUCUUUGUAGAUUUGGCGGAAUUGCAGAAAUUUCCUCAAGAGAAUAGCAAUAAUUUAAUUCAAGUGUACGAAGAGAGGUACAUUCUUUAAGGCAUUCUGGAAGAACUCUGAUAUUGCUACCAAAUAGGUCUAGAUAUUUCAUAUUAGCAAACCGCAUGAUAGCCAUCGGAAGAAAUAAUGAGAGGUUGCUAAUUCCUUUGAGGCUAACAUCCUCCACUUUUGGCAUGUUGCAAAUGCUAGGGAACAUUAGCUUUCCAUUUGUAUCAAAAUUUAGUGAAACAAGCCCAAUUAGAUUUUGAAUUGAAACUGGAAUCUCUCCUAUGGAAGUUCCAUGAAUAUCAAUUAUUUUUAGUGUUUCGAUCUUGUCUAAUAUUUCUGGAAAAUUCUGGAGACUCUCACAAUCCCCAAGUUUCAGAUUUUUAAGAGAAGGUAAUUUCAAGGAUGGAAAACUCCUAAGCUUCGUGCAACCCUUAGCAUUCAAGAAUUCAAGUUUGCUCAGAAACCCAAUUGAGUUGUCAAUUGUAAUUAAAUUCACACAAUUUUUAAAUGAAAUUUUUUCUAAAUUUGGGAGACCGGAGACAUUUGAUAUCUCUGUUAAAUAUUCACAGUUGUCAAAGUUCAAAACUUUCAUAUUCUCAAAUUUCUGCAUAAAAAGAGAAAGAAAAAAAAAUAAGUAUAAAUAAAAUAAAGGUGAAUUUACAAUAUGCAUGAUAAAAAUUUAACUUAUUUCACUUGCCUUGUUCAAAAUACUAAAUGGUAUUGAAGGAUAUUUUUCCCAUUCAAGUACUCUCAAACUAUUUGGAAAAUAUCGAGACCCUUCGGAAAAAUUAGCAUUUUUAAUGAUAAGUGUUUUUAGAUUUGUCAUCUUCUUGAAGGCUUCUCCAUUCCAAUUUAUUUCGACUUCCUUUGAGGGGCAAUCCAGAUAUAUCAUUUUAGUUUCACUAGAUCCCUGUUAAAAAAAAAACAUGAAAUAACCAUAAUUAAUUAUGAUGAUAAUUUAGGACACAUAUAUAGAGAAAUUUACGUAUAAUCAAGACUAACAAACCAAUAUGACUUGAUAAAAAAAUAACUCCAAAAAGAAAUAUCAUCAAGCUUACCUUGUUUUGUUCUAAAACUUCAACUAUAUCUUUGUGAAACCACAAUCUCGUGCGUUGUUCGGGAUGAUCGGGAAAUUCAUUUCGAACAAUAUCUUUACCCAUAUCCUCUAUCAAAUCAUGUAAUCUCACAACACCAAUCAGAUCAAUCUUUGUGAGAGAUUUAUCAACCAACACGUCAACAUCAUGUUUUAUGCAAUGACCAUAAUGAGCAUGAAUCUUUUCCAAAGGAAACCCUUUAAAGAAACAUGCAAUAUCUAGAAAGAGAUUUUUCUGUUCUUCAUCUAAACCAUCAUAGCUUACUUUUAGUUUAUUUUGGAUAUCAUCAGGAGGAAUCCUUUUGUAUUUAUCUAAUGUAGAUUCCCAUUCUGUUAUAGGCUUCCCUGACAAAUUGGAACCUAUGACAUCUAUAGCUAAUGGAAGGCCAGAAGCAUAACUAAUUGCACGGUUGACAAUAUCAUCAUCAACUGAACCAACUUUCUUAGUUUUAAAAGCCAUCCACUUAAACAAUUCAAGACAUUCACCCAUAUUGAAGCCAUCUACUUCAUAUAUUCUUCCAAUCCCAUGACGUGUUAACAAACUUUUGUCUCGAGUGGUAAUGAUGACUCUGCUGUUAGGACCAAAC